This 623-nucleotide ribosomal RNA is filed under the name Thaxterogaster cinereoroseolus. RNAcentral's name for it is "eukaryotic LSU rRNA". The stretch from base 253 to 406 matches the Rfam family "5.8S ribosomal RNA". Lineage: Eukaryota; Fungi; Basidiomycota; Agaricomycetes; Agaricales; Cortinariaceae. The record is from RNAcentral.
GAAGGAUCAUUAUUGAAAUAAACCUGAUGAGUUGCUGCUGGCUCUCUAGGGAGCAUGUGCACACUUGUCAUCUUUAUAUCUCCACCUGUGCACCUUUUGUAGACCUGGAUAUCUCUCUGAGUGCUUAGCACUUCAGGUUUGAGGAUUGACUUUAUUGUCCUAUCUUUAUAUUUCCAGGCCUAUGUUUCUUCAUAUACCCCAUUGUAUGUUAUAGAAUGUAAUAAAUAGGCCUUUGUGCCUAUAAACCUAUACAACUUUCAGCAACGGAUCUCUUGGCUCUCGCAUCGAUGAAGAACGCAGCGAAAUGCGAUAAGUAAUGUGAAUUGCAGAAUUCAGUGAAUCAUCGAAUCUUUGAACGCACCUUGCGCUCCUUGGUAUUCCGAGGAGCAUGCCUGUUUGAGUGUCAUUAAUAUAUCAACCUCUUCAACUUUUGUUGAGUGUUGGAUGUGGGGGUUCUCUUUUGCUGGCCUCUCCGAGUUCAGCUCCCCUGAAAUACAUUAGCGGAACAAUUUUGUGGAUUCGUUCAUUGGCGUGAUAAUUAUCUAUGCUAUUGACGUGAAGCAGUUCAGCUUAUAACAGUCCAUUAACUUGGCCAAUUUUUUUUAUUAAUGUGACCUCAAAUC